AUAUUUUUUUUUAUAUAUAAAAACAAAAAGGUAUAGCAACAUUAAAUUAUGAACAUAAAACUUAAGAACUAAUGGAAAAAGAACGGAAGGGUCGGGACUGGAAUCAUAUUAAAUACUAUCGAAUAAUAAAGAGAUUGUAAAAUCAUGACACUUUAGUUUGCAUGGAAUGCUUUAGAGAAUAUUCGACGACGUUCGAGAACGUAAUCUCCUGACAUAUCGCACGCUAGACUGUAACAAUAGAGCUCGCAUAGUAUAAAAUGGCAAAGGUGAUAUCUCUCGCCUAACGUUCCACACGAUGAUCAAUUUUCUUCCAUCGUUCUUUGUACACGAUUCUUGUUAUUAUAAUCCUCGUAAAAGAAAAAAAUCUUUUCAUUGAUUCGUAACACUUUUGACAAACCGAUUAGAAUUAAUAUGACUAAACGUAUCAAAUCAUUAUUAAUGUGAUUUAUCAUUUGUCAUAUAAAUUUUCGUUUAGAUAAUAAAUGAAAAUUACGAACGAAUGUGUACGUAUAUAUCAUAAAAUGAAAAAAAUAAGAAACGUGUACGUGUAUACGUGUAAUAUGAAAAUAGAUAAAAAUUUAUAAAGUACACACAUUAAAGUAAGACGUAACUUUAUAAGUUCGAUUGAAAUAAAAGGAUAAAAGAAAAAGUA
RNAcentral lists this long non-coding RNA (652 nucleotides) under Polistes fuscatus (common paper wasp). Its description in RNAcentral is "uncharacterized LOC122524322, transcript variant X1". Lineage: Eukaryota; Metazoa; Arthropoda; Insecta; Hymenoptera; Vespidae. The record is from RNAcentral.